GGCCUGANNUNGGCAUUUUAGUCACUUUNUACAAAAAGCAGGCUCCGAAUUCGCCCUUUAGAAGUUUGACUCCGUGGCUCAGGAAAGUCUUUAACAAGGCUAACCGCUAAAGGGCGGAUAUUCGACCCAGGCUUUAUUGUAAUAUAGUUGGCAUUUAUAAAGAAAGCCGCUGGAUCAUCAAAUUUGCAAGAUACAACAGACAUGUACUCAUACUCAAAAGAUAUGUAUCAGUCAUUGACUUAAACCGAAUUUUUACCACAUGUUAUACGAAGGGUUUCUCUCACUAUUAACAACGAAUUCUCUUUUUAUCAAUUGUCAAUACAAUCCACUUCUACCAUAUUUAAUGAAUAUCUGAUCUAAGAAAUCAUCUCUAUACCACAAACUUUUUCCAAUAUAAUCCCACUGCCCCAAAAAUUAUAAACCAAACAAUUCCUGUUAAUACCACUCUUAACUAGUCCCAUUAAAAUAUCUCUUCAAAACUUCUCAAAGUAGCCUUGCUCUAACCUCCCUUUACACUUUAAAAUCCUUCAAAAUCGCCUCUACUUAUUGCUCAUACCUAUUUGAAUGUCAUAUACAAACCCCCCCAUUUACAUCAAAAAUUCCAAUUAGUGCUAAAACCAACAUCUACAUUUUAUCUCCUAAUGAUUGAGGAUCUAAUAUCUCAUAGACUCUCUCAACUUAUCAACUUAUAAACAAUUUCACACUACUUCUUUAGUAUAUCUCAAAAGACUAUCAACUAAAAAUUUCAAUUACCAGUCUUUCAUGAACCCAUAUAUGAUAGUACAAAUUAUCAACCACAACAACCCUUAAAAUACAUACAAAUUAAUACAUCAUCUCUGAUACA
This 844-nucleotide ribosomal RNA is filed under the name uncultured bacterium. Its description in RNAcentral is "partial 16S ribosomal RNA". The record is from RNAcentral.